UACGUAGGGUGCGAGCGUUGUCCGGAAUUACUGGGCGUAAAGAGCUUGUAGGCGGUUUGUCGCGUCUUCUGUGAAAACUUGGGGCUCAACCUUAAGCUUGCAGGCGAUACGGGCAGACUAGAGUACUUCAGGGGAGACUGGAAUUCCUGGUGUAGCGGUGAAAUGCGCAGAUAUCGGGAAGAACACCCGUGGCGAAGGCGGCUCUCUGGAACGCAACUGACGCUGAGACGCGAAAGCGUGGGGAGCAAACAGG
Molecule: ribosomal RNA, 253 nt
Filed under: uncultured bacterium
Lineage: Bacteria
Description: partial 16S ribosomal RNA
Rfam family: Bacterial small subunit ribosomal RNA
Source: RNAcentral